Molecule: ribosomal RNA, 497 nt
Filed under: uncultured bacterium
Lineage: Bacteria
Description: partial 16S ribosomal RNA
Rfam family: Bacterial small subunit ribosomal RNA
Source: RNAcentral
GAUGAACGCUGGCGGCGUGCCUAAUACAUGCAAGUCGAGCGAACAGACGAGGAGCUUGCUCCUUCGACGUUACCGGCGGACGGGUGAGUAACACGUAGGUAACCUACCUAUAAGACUGGGAUAACUUCGGGAAACCGGAGCUAAUACCGGAUAAUAUUUCGAACCGCAUGGUUCGAUAGUGAAAGAUGGCUUUGCUAUCACUUAUAGAUGGACCUGCGCCGUAUUAGCUAGUUGGUAAGGUAACGGCUUACCAAGGCAACGAUACGUAGCCGACCUGAGAGGGUGAUCGGCCACACUGGAACUGAGACACGGUCCAGACUCCUACGGGAGGCAGCAGUAGGGAAUCUUCCGCAAUGGGCGAAAGCCUGACGGAGCAACGCCGCGUGAGUGAUGAAGGUCUUCGGAUCGUAAAACUCUGUUAUUAGGGAAGAACAAACGUGUAAGUAACUGUGCACGUCUUGACGGUACCUAAUCAGAAAGCCACGGCUAACUACGUG